This 255-nucleotide ribosomal RNA is filed under the name uncultured bacterium. Its description in RNAcentral is "partial 16S ribosomal RNA". It matches the Rfam family "Bacterial small subunit ribosomal RNA", at positions 524 to 776 of the family's 1533-position model. The record is from RNAcentral.
UACGGGGGGAGCAAGCGUUGUUCGGAUUUACUGGGCGUAAAGGGCGCGUAGGCGGUCGUGACAAGUCACUUGUGAAAUCUCCGGGCUUAACUCGGAACGGUCAAGUGAUACUGUCGGACUAGAGUACAGAAGGGGCAACUGGAAUUCUCGGUGUAGCGGUGAAAUUCGUAGAUAUUCGGAAGAACACCAGUGGCGAAGGCGGCUCACUGGCCCGGUACUGACGCUGAGAUACGAAAAGCGUGGGGAGCAAACAGG